GCAACAUGGCGGCUCAGUGGAGUCACAUGACCUGAACCGAUUGUGGACCGGCACCACUUACACACAGAUCAUUUACUUUAAAAACCUUUACUACAAUAAUAUUAGCAUGCUAACCCCUCAGGUCAGACGGUUUUCAUAUUUCCUGUCACAGGAAUUUCUGGAUAAGAGCCAUUUUACAAAAUAGCCACCAUUUUUGGGCCUUUUAAAUGAAUUAUUGUCAUAAAAUGUUCCCCAUCUUUUAAUGAACUUUUCGUCUCAUGUUUUCUUCUUUGGUCAUUAUGUACGUAAAACUUUAAAGUGCGCGGAAUCAGAAACUGAGGACUUUAUUGUUAGCAAGUGUUAAUGGUUAGCGUUAGCUUCUGCUCAUUUUUUUGUGUGUUUAGCGGCUUAGCUUUAGCUUCUGAUCAUUUUAUGUGGUUAUGGGUUUAGUAUUAGCAGAGCUAAGAUUCUUGUUUAGCAAAUUAGUUAUAAGUGAAGCUAAUGCCCCUUUUCCACAGCCCGACCCGACCCGGCUCGCUUUCCGAACUUUUCUACCGGCUUCUUUUCGGAGCAGGCCCAGCCCAGCCAGUGACGCAAGCUUCGCUCCAGGUCACUGAUUGGCUGAGGGCGCGGUCAGACGGAGCAGCAAAGAGAAGAAAAACGAGGCGCAACGUUUCAACUCGCUGCAACACGGAAGUGAUGAAGAUACAAACACCGACCCAGAUGCAGCUAACGCCGCCGCCGCUGCUCUCCAGCCAGAGAACAGAAGAGGAGGAACAUGGCUGACAUGAUGGAGAACGAUGAGGAGAACCGUCAGAACAACAACUGGAUCUCCUUCAGGAGGAAGCAGCUACCAGCAGAGAUGGCAGAGCUCCACGAAGAGCCGAGGCAAAGAAAAGAAGAAAAUAAAUGCUGUUUUCUCUCAGUA
This is a long non-coding RNA of Xiphophorus couchianus (Monterrey platyfish), 907 nucleotides long. RefSeq lists it as uncharacterized. The transcript is spliced from 2 exons. Lineage: Eukaryota; Metazoa; Chordata; Actinopteri; Cyprinodontiformes; Poeciliidae. The record is from RefSeq and is a predicted model, not a curated record.